Molecule: ribosomal RNA, 495 nt
Filed under: uncultured bacterium
Lineage: Bacteria
Description: partial 16S ribosomal RNA
Rfam family: Bacterial small subunit ribosomal RNA
Source: RNAcentral
GACGAACGCUGGCGGCGUGCCUAAUACAUGCAAGUAGAACGCUGAAGGAGGAGCUUGCUUCUCUGGAUGAGUUGCGAACGGGUGAGUAACGCGUAGGUAACCUGCCUGGUAGCGGGGGAUAACUAUUGGAAACGAUAGCUAAUACCGCAUAAUAGUAGAUGUUGCAUGACAUUUGCUUAAAAGGUGCAAUUGCAUCACUACCAGAUGGACCUGCGUUGUAUUAGCUAGUUGGUGGGGUAACGGCUCACCAAGGCGACGAUACAUAGCCGACCUGAGAGGGUGAUCGGCCACACUGGGACUGAGACACGGCCCAGACUCCUACGGGAGGCAGCAGUAGGGAAUCUUCGGCAAUGGACGGAAGUCUGACCGAGCAACGCCGCGUGAGUGAAGAAGGUUUUCGGAUCGUAAAGCUCUGUUGGAAGAGAAGAACGAGGGUGAGAGUGGAAAGUUCACACUGUGACGGUAUCUAACCAGAAAGGGACGGCUAACUACGUG